AGGACGAACGCUGGCGGCGUGCUUAACACAUGCAAGUCGAGCGGAAAGGCCCUUCGGGGUACUCGAGCGGCGAACGGGUGAGUAACACGUGGGCAACCUGCCCUUAGCUCUGGGAUAGCUCCGGGAAACCGGAAUUAAUACCGGAUAUGACCUAGGCCGACAUCGGCCGUGGUGGAAAGUUUUUCGGCUAGGGAUGGACUCGCGGCCUAUCAGCUAGUUGGUGGGGUAAUGGCCUACCAAGGCGACGACGGGUAGCCGGCCUGAGAGGGCGACCGGCCACACUGGGACUGAGACACGGCCCAGACUCCUACGGGAGGCAGCAGUGGGGAAUCUUUCUCAAUGGGGGAAACCCUGAAGGAGCGACGCCGCGUGGAGGAUGAAGGUCUUCGGAUUGUAAACUCCUGUCAUUGGGGAACAAGUCGCUUACGUUAACUGCGUGAGCGCUGAUAGUACCCGAAGAGGAAGAGACGGCUAACUCUGUGCCAGCAGCCGC
RNAcentral lists this ribosomal RNA (493 nucleotides) under uncultured bacterium. RNAcentral describes it as "SSU rRNA". It matches the Rfam family "Bacterial small subunit ribosomal RNA", at positions 26 to 518 of the family's 1533-position model. The record is from RNAcentral.